AACGCAAAUUGCACUCUCCGGUUUUCCGGGAGAGUAUGCCUGUUUGAGGGUCAGCCUAAAAAAAAUCGACAUUGUUGCUUGUUUUAUGGUGACUUUCGUCGGAGGUUGGGUUAUCUUAAACCCUUUAGGUUUAAGCGACUUAAAAUUUUUUUUUACGAUUCCAAGAACGUUUCUAAGAUUAUUUCUUACACGUUUAUUAAGGUAUCGAUCAUAUUAGACGCGGCCGUCAUAUCGGAUCGUGUCUAUAAUUUUUUUCGUUAACUGACCUCAGACAGGUAAGAGUACCCGCUGAACUUAA
Molecule: unclassified non-coding RNA, 298 nt
Filed under: uncultured Glomerales
Lineage: Eukaryota; Fungi; Glomeromycota; Glomeromycetes; Glomerales; Glomeraceae
Description: sequence contains 5.8S rRNA gene, ITS2, 28S rRNA gene
Source: RNAcentral